ACUGUUUACCAAAAACAUAGCCCUCGGCUAAUAUGAAAAUAGAUGUAUAGAGGGUGAUGCCUGCCCAAUGGUUGUAUCUAAAAGCGGUUGAUAAAAGUCGACCUUGUAAGGACAAUUGAAUGGCCGCGGUAACACUGACCGUGAUAAUGUAGCGUAAUCAAUAGCCAAUUAAUUGUUGGCCAGUAUGAAUGGCGCCACGAAGGCCCCACUGUCUUAAGGAAAUUCCCAGUGAAAUUGAAUUCGUAGUGAAGAUGCUACGUCCAAUUUGUUAGACGAAAAGACCCCGUUGAGCUUUACUGGAGCACUUAUAUGGCCCCGGCCUUCCCAUGCCUGGGAACCGGCCGAAUUUAAAUGGGCGGCUUAGAUUAUGUGGCAGCCCCCCGCUGGGGCAAAUGAAACACCACUCCCCCAUGUCAAAGGGGCUAACCCCCCCCCUUGGGGGGGAC
RNAcentral lists this ribosomal RNA (446 nucleotides) under Zoanthus natalensis. RNAcentral's name for it is "partial 16S ribosomal RNA". It matches the Rfam family "Bacterial large subunit ribosomal RNA", at positions 1799 to 2252 of the family's 2925-position model. The record is from RNAcentral. Lineage: Eukaryota; Metazoa; Cnidaria; Anthozoa; Zoantharia; Zoanthidae.